AACAUCGCCUCUUGCCCCCACAAUAUAAGAGGUCCCGCCUGCCCUGUGACGAAAGUUUAACGGCCGCGGUAUUUUGACCGUGCGAAGGUAGCGUAAUCACUUGUCUUUUAAAUAGAGACCUGUAUGAAUGGCAUAACGAGGGCUAAGCUGUCUCCUCUCUCCGGUCAAUGAAAUUGAUCUGCCCGUGCAGAAGCGGGCAUGCCCACAUAAGACGAGAAGACCCUAUGGAGCUUUAGACACUAGAGCAGACCACGUUAAAACCCUCGGCUUAUCGAGACUGAACCAAGUGGCCCCCGCCCUCCUGUCUUUGGUUGGGGCGACCGCGGAGUAAUAACUAACCCCCACGUGGAAGGGGAAACACCCCCCAAGUCCAGAGGCACUCCUCCAGCAAGCAGAAAUUCUGACCAUAAGAUCCGGCAGAGCCGAUCAACGGACCCAGUUACCCUAGGGAUAACAGCGCAAUCCCCUUCUAGAGCCCAUAUCGACAAGGGGGUUUACGACCUCGAUGUUGGAUCAGGACUUCCUAAUGGUGCAGCCGCUAUUAAGGGUUCGUUUGUUCAACGAUUAAAGUCCUACGUGA
This 580-nucleotide ribosomal RNA is filed under the name Ptereleotris heteroptera (blacktail goby). RNAcentral describes it as "partial 16S ribosomal RNA". It matches the Rfam family "Bacterial large subunit ribosomal RNA", at positions 1812 to 2603 of the family's 2925-position model. The record is from RNAcentral. Lineage: Eukaryota; Metazoa; Chordata; Actinopteri; Gobiiformes; Gobiidae.